GCGAAAUAUGGCUCCGGCCACUAGAAAUUCGGAAGUUUCAGAAAUGUAAGAAAACCGUGGAUUUUUGGAUCUUUAAAGGAGUUUUGAGAAGCAUUUAAAAAAAAAAAUCAGCAGCCAUACCCGAUACAACUGGAUGACAGGAUCGAUAAGCUUUGCCUAGAGAAGCAUCCUGGGAAACUGGAGAUGCUGUCAGUAGCCGGAGGGCCACAGUUGACAGGAAUGUGGCUGCAGCAUGAAGACCUGCUUUAUGAGACUCUGCAGAGGAGUCAUGCACAGAAACAGCAUAACCAUGCAACAGUCAUCAUCACAAAUCACUCAACAAACAGGAAGUGUAACGUUGCCACGGAGACAGU
Long non-coding RNA from Eleginops maclovinus (Patagonian blennie), 353 nucleotides. RefSeq lists it as uncharacterized. Lineage: Eukaryota; Metazoa; Chordata; Actinopteri; Perciformes; Eleginopidae. The transcript has 3 exons. The record is from RefSeq and is a predicted model, not a curated record.